This 382-nucleotide long non-coding RNA is filed under the name Bos taurus (domestic cattle). Its description in RNAcentral is "long non-coding RNA NONBTAT016217". Lineage: Eukaryota; Metazoa; Chordata; Mammalia; Artiodactyla; Bovidae. The record is from RNAcentral.
GAGAAACGGGAAGUACAGAAUGCUGUGAGAAUGCCUGGCCUACAUGAGCUGUCAUGAUGAAGCACGGGGCAGACAUGCCUCUUUUUCCAGAUGUAUCAGCAGACUCCACCGAUGAAUACAGAUGCCACAGCUAGCUUUACCAGGCAGUAUUUGGAAUGACCCCCUAAAUCCAGCCUCACUAUAUUACUUAGAGGGACACUUAAACCUCAAAGAAGAUUCAUCUAAGGAAAAUGGCUCAUGGGAUUUCAUUCCCCCUAAGGCUUCCAUGCCUUAUGUCAGUAAGUCAUCAAUAAUUAAACAGUAACAGUUAAAACAAGACCACCCAAGCAUACAGGCCCAAGGGUUGAGCUACAGAAAUGGUUUGCAUGGUCCUCUUAUUUAG